GCAACCCUCUCCAUCAAAAUUCAAAAUCCCUCCACCUUCUCCAUCGUCACUAACCGCCGUCGCUCUUCGCCUUUCGUCGUUGCCCUCGCCCGUCGCUCAUCGCCGUUGCCGCACCGUUCCCACUCAGCUCCUCAUGCCGCACCUCAAAUCGAUCGCUGCAACAUCUUCCCGCCAGCAGAAGUGCACGCCGGUUGUUUCGUCGAUGAAUUUUUUUAUCGGUCUUAACCGCCGCAGCUACUUCGUACGUCGCCGCCGUCUCUAAUAUAGCUAUUUGAAUCUUCUGGCAAGUUGCAACUUCUUGAUAAGAUGUUGGUGAAGCUUAAAGAGCAAUUGCUAUGUAGGUGAAUGAACAAGCCAGUGAUGAGGCUGCAUCAGGGUCUUGGGGGAUUUCUAUGGAUGUUGCUUUCAACACCAUGGAGAGCACUCUUACUUUGUCUAUAAUUAUCACAGUCUUUACUUUACAGGUACUCAUGCUAUCACUUGUGCUUUGUUUGCUUUCCUAAGGCCAGGGGAUAAGGCAUUUCUGAUAAUGAGAUGCACCACUUGAAUCUCAACAUUAAAGAAUCUGUUUCUUCUAAAAGACUGACAAGGCUACCUUCCACCACAAAGAAUGGUGCAAAAUUCAGCUUGUUGUCGGGACAUGAACAGAAAAUGUGGAAACAAUGAACGAUGUGGUUUCUCUAUGCAGUUCUUGAGUCACCAUGCACUGAUCAAAGUCAUUGAAAUAGAAAGCUGUGGAUGCUGCAUUGAUCAAAGCCAUUGAAGCAGUGCUGAAUUUGAAGGCUUAUUUGGGUGUAGUGAGGAUAAUUAAGUAGUAUAUAUUUUUGAUUUUUUUUGGCUUAUGGUAAUAGUUCGUUGUUGGAAGUACUAUAGACAUGACCAUAAAUUUUGUUGUACAUAAUUUUGAUGUUUAAAUAUAUUUUCAAUUUGAAAUUUAGUGU
Ipomoea nil (Japanese morning glory) is the source of this 941-nucleotide long non-coding RNA. RefSeq lists it as uncharacterized. The record is from RefSeq and is a predicted model, not a curated record. NCBI's taxonomy places the organism in Eukaryota, Viridiplantae, Streptophyta, Magnoliopsida, Solanales, Convolvulaceae. The transcript has 7 exons.